CUUCUGGUGAUGAUACCUUUGUCCAGUUCUGCUACUGAACUUGAGCGAUGACAGUUUGGAGAUCUGAAGAGG
Small nucleolar RNA from Accipiter nisus (Eurasian sparrowhawk), 72 nucleotides. The record is from Ensembl. Lineage: Eukaryota; Metazoa; Chordata; Aves; Accipitriformes; Accipitridae.